CAAUUUCAAAACAUUGGCUGUGACAGGAUGAAUUACUUCAUCACUUGAUUCACUUUCUAGAUAGCAAGAGGAAACAUUUCUCAGACUUUCCUUGGACUUCAAUAAAUGUGAAGUAAAGUUGUGGACAGAAAGAAACAUCCGUGGUCCACCAUAAAAAGGCAGACCACAUCUUCAGUGGCAUCUUCAGUGUCUUCUGAAGAUCUAAGUGACUUAACAACGCAUCAUGGCUAACUCCGCUGACAGAAAUGAGAAAACCCACGUGGAAAUAGAUAAGGGAAUGACAAGAAGAAAGGAAGGAUGGGAGAGGCAUAGUACAGCUUAUCACGAUCAAAGGACAGAAGCACAUCUGUAAAAAGCAAAAACCAGGCCCCAGCCUCAAUCAGC
This 384-nucleotide long non-coding RNA is filed under the name Cricetulus griseus (Chinese hamster). RNAcentral describes it as "lncRNA (ENSCGRG00015036171.1)". Lineage: Eukaryota; Metazoa; Chordata; Mammalia; Rodentia; Cricetidae. The record is from RNAcentral.